Molecule: long non-coding RNA, 1083 nt
Organism: Scophthalmus maximus (turbot)
Lineage: Eukaryota; Metazoa; Chordata; Actinopteri; Pleuronectiformes; Scophthalmidae
Exons: 3
Source: RefSeq, a predicted model, not a curated record
GUGAUCACAGUAAGUUUCAGAAAUAAAUAAAUGCUGUAUUGAUUUGUGUUGUUGUUGACUGUUGACUUCCUUCUUUUUUUUUUUUUUGGUCCUGUUUUCCUUCACCGUCUCUCUCGAGCUUCAGUCCGAGGACAGUGGAUGAGCUUCAGCCUCGACCGCAGAGCUGCUGUGUGACUGUAUCUUUCACGACGUCCGGGGGCGGUUUGAGGCCAGCGACUGCAGCGUCGGUGCAGAGGAGGAGAAGGAGGAGGAGGUGCAGUGCGGGGGAGGCUGCGGAUUAGUCAUCUUUGGCACAGGUGGAAACUGUGGGGGCUGCAUCACCUGGGAUUCUUUUCAAGGCUUUUGCAAGAAAGAAAGAAAAGAAAAUAGUGCGGAGGGGACGAGAUGAAGACACCUGCAGUGUUCGCCCGAGGGGCUGCUACGACCAAAAUGGACAAUAUUCUCACCUGCAUUAGGAAGCUCCAUUAGGUUCCAUCCCCCUGAAUAUCCCGAGGCAAGGAACGAAACACGAUGUCAAAACAUAAUCGCCUGGUUUUCUUUCGACUCGGGCGCUGUUUGGAAAAGAGGUUGUGUGGGUAAAGAGUUAUGUACGGUGACACAAAGCACUGACACAGAUUAUAACAAUGGCGUAACAGAAAGGAGCACGGUGACAGAGCACUUGGACACAGUCGAGCUCUGAACUGGCCUGAUUGUUGGAGCAGCAGGUUUAUGAUUGGAGGGUUCUCAGAUAAAUCAGCUGGCGAGCAAGAUAAAAAAAAAAUAACACUGGUAAACAGACGGCAGUUCUGGACAAAAAGCACAGAUGAAAACAUUUGAACUUUCAGAAUCCAGCAUUUCUGCACUGUUCUUAAAGUGCAAACAAGUACAUGCAUGUGCGUUUUAUAUUGAAUUCAUAAUAUAUUUCUAGCCGUCAAUACAAUGCUCUCUACUAACAAUAUGUGUGUGUGUGUGUGUGUUAAUAUGACUAGUGUAAUAAUAUGACUAGUGUAAUAUGAAUGUGUAGUUGAGGUGUAAGUUGUGUGUGCAGUGUAUCAUAAAUGCAUCCAUCUCCAUCUUUAUGACCUGGCUAAGAGGAGGUUGAAG